CAAAUGCUCAUAAAAUAGAUUAAGGGUUUUCAAUUAAUGAAAGCACAUUGGCAUAAUUAAAUUACACUAAUAAUUGGUCCUUCGAGUGGAUUCCACAUACUUGCCUCUGUCGUCCGAAGGGGAAAGCCGAAAACCGUGCACGGACGAGUCUGGACUCGUUAUUUAAAGACCUGGCCUCUGGAUUGAGGAUUAAAAAUAACAGGCCGGUAUACAGAUCUAAGGGCGACAGAGAAGGUGACGGAAUCGAACCGGCAUUGCUUUUCCCAGUCUACAGGACGAAGGUGAAUUACAGGUGAAGUCACUCAAUCCAGUCCCUGAGGCCUGUUGGGGGGGACCAUACCAAGGACUCCUGGUGACAGCUAGCUGAAAGAACUACCCAGAUUCAUAUCACACUGCGGGAGGGUAAGACACAUUGACACUGUCGAACAAUAACAGUGUUCGAGAGGAGAACUGGAAUGAACAGAAUUUUGGGGGCCAUAUCUCAAAUGAAGAAUACCUUACCUGUCAUUUCCUCCCUGUUCUUGUUCAUAGAAGUGAAAAUGUGUCUGACUCUUGCUAAUGAUGUGUUUUCUGGAAGAGGGUGGGGCUUUAUAGGUGAGCUGUCCAUCCUAAGCUGUAUGGUUGGGAGACCUUAUUCCUGACCAUAUUCCUACACCAUGAACCCGAGAAGGCCAGAGGGUAACAUUGACAUAGUUAAACAAGAAGGAAUUAGUAUUAACCAAGCAUAAGAGAUCACUUGAUCUGGAUAAACACGAAAUGAGAGUAGGAUAGGGAAGGAUGUCUCAGUGGAGUUCUAUGUAGACCAAGUGGUGCCUCUGACUCCUUGGCAGUUCAGGACUAAGAGUAGCUAUUAUGGAAGACAUCUAUGCAAGUCCCUGUGUAGUUCAUGAAAACCAGUUAUAGCUCACAUCAUGUGAGAGGCUACAUAAAUCUACAUACCCAGCAUGGAAGGAGAUGGAGUGUAGUGAAAGUAAGGAUUUCAGUUGAUAACCUAGUGCAUUCCAGGUAGAAAAAGUUAGAGCAGCUGAUUGCUCUAUAGUCAAAGCAGAUACGGACUGUGGAGUUGUCCAGAGCCAAGAGCCGGUGUGGAUAGUUAAGACAUGGAAUUAUUCACCUAAGGGAACAGCCUGUAUGGUAAAGCUAUUCAUGGAAGCAGGAAAGCCAGAUAAUAAGUUGUAUGGAUUUGCACUAUUUACGUCCACAUGUUCCUCUGAAAUCUGAGCUUCCUCCUUUCACAGAGGCAAAGGGAGACUGUUUACUGUUUGAUUCAGUAUAGUACUUCUGGGAAAUAUGUGGGGGAAAAUCAGUGUUGCAAUAGGACAGAUAAUGUUACUUCUGAUGCGACUAAUGAGUGAUUUGGCAGGCUGGUUGAGAUCUGGGGAUUUCAGUAAGAUAAGGAGGCCCAGGGCUCACAUCUGGUGGUUGUGUGGGGGGAAUGACGUGAUGGCCGAGUAUUACUGGCUAACUGAACAGGGGUAUGUGUACUGGUACAUUUGAGAAUGUCUUUCAUACUCAUUCAACACCAUGACAUGACGUGGACUAAACGGGAGAAAAGAAGUACUCUUUUGAUGAUAGGGUUUGUAUGAAUAACAUUGUGGUUCCAAGGGUGGCAGAUGAGAUCAAAGCUAUAAAGUAGAUCCUGGCAGGAUUAGAGUCAAGUAUUUUUUGGUGGUCCACUCUCAAUGAGAAUGUGGAUUGGAUCAAUUAUAUCUAUUAAAAAUCCACAGUGCUUCACCAAUUAUAUUUGACAUGUAAUGAAUGACUUGGCAGAAUAGAAUAGUCUUGGAUGUUUGCUGGCUGAAAAGGGUGGGAGUGUAUGGAGGUAAUUUGGACUCCAAGGAUAUAGUUUCAGAUGGAACAGUGACCAAGGCCUUGUCUGGUUUACACACCCUAGUUCACGAGUUGGCAGUAAACUCAGGGGUGGAUACUUCUCUGACCAAUUGCGUUGACAGUGUGUUUGGAAGAUGGAAAAAUGUUAUGAUUACUGUGUUAUGGGCUACCUUCACCUGUGUGACUGUGUUAGUUUUGUGCGGAUGUGGUUGAUUGCGUGUAUGAAAGUUAUCAUUUCCAGGACUCUGGAGAAAUCGAUGACACUUCAGAUGGUGAUCUACAGUGGGGCAAAAAAGUAUUUAGUCAGCCACCAAUUGUGCAAGUUCUUCCACGUA
Oncorhynchus tshawytscha (Chinook salmon) is the source of this 2165-nucleotide long non-coding RNA. NCBI's taxonomy places the organism in Eukaryota, Metazoa, Chordata, Actinopteri, Salmoniformes, Salmonidae. The record is from Ensembl.